AGGGCAAGUCUGGUGCCAGCAGCCGCGGUAAUUCCAGCUCCAAUAGCGUAUAUUAAAGUUGUUGCAGUUAAAAAGCUCGUAGUUGAAUUUCGGGGUUAGUAGGUUGGUCAUGCCUCAGGUACGUACUGGUCUUACUGGCUCCUCCUUCCUGAUGAACCGUAAUGCCAUUAAUUUGGUGUUGCGGGGAGACUGGACUGUUACUUUGAAAAAUUAGAGUGUUUAAAGCAGGCUAACGCUUGAAUACAUUAGCAUGGAAUAAUGAAAUAGGACGUUCGAUCUUAUUUUGUUGGUUUCUAAGAUUGACGUAAUGAUUAAUAGGGAUAGUUGGGGGCAUUAGUAUUCAAUUGUCAGAGGUGAAAUUCUUGGAUUUAUUGAAGACUAACUACUGCGAAAGCAUUUGCCAAGGAUGUUUUCAUUAAUCAAGAACGAAAGUUAGGGGAUUGAAGACGAUCAGAUACCGUCGUAGUCUUAACCAUAAACUAUGCCGACUAGGGAUCGGAUGAUGUUAAUUUUUUAAUGACUCAUUCGGCGCCUUACGGGAA
Molecule: ribosomal RNA, 542 nt
Filed under: uncultured Glomeromycotina
Lineage: Eukaryota; Fungi; Glomeromycota
Description: SSU rRNA
Rfam family: Eukaryotic small subunit ribosomal RNA
Source: RNAcentral